AGAGCGAACGCUGGCGGCAGGCUUAACACAUGCAAGUCGAGCGCCCCGCAAGGGGAGCGGCAGACGGGAGAGUAACACGUGGGAACGUACCUUUCGGUUCGGAACAACCCAGGGAAACUUGGGCUAAUACCGGAUACGUCCGUAAGGAGAAAGAUUUAUCGCCGAAAGAUCGGCCCGCGUCUGAUUAGCUAGUUGGUGAGGUAACGGCUCACCAAGGCGACGAUCAGUAGCUGGUCUGAGAGAUGAUCAGCCUCACUGGGACUGAGACACGGCCCAGACUCCUACGGGAGGCAGCAGUGGGGAAUAUUGGACAAUGGGCGCAAGCCUGAUCCAGCCAUGCCGCGUGGGUGAUGAAGGCCCUAGGGUUGUAAAGCCCUUUCGGCGGGGAAGAUAAUGACGGUACCCGCAGAAGAAGCCCGGCUAACUUCGUGCCAGCAGCCGC
This 442-nucleotide ribosomal RNA is filed under the name uncultured bacterium. RNAcentral describes it as "SSU rRNA". It matches the Rfam family "Bacterial small subunit ribosomal RNA", at positions 26 to 518 of the family's 1533-position model. The record is from RNAcentral.